ACGCCGCGUGCAGGAGGACGCUUUUCGGAGAGUAAACUGCUUUUCUGUGGGAAGAGGAAGGACGGUACCACAGGAAGAAGCCCCGGCUAACUACGUGCCAGCAGCCGCGGUAAUACGUAGGGGGCGAGCGUUGUCCGGAGUUACUGGGCGUAAAGGGCAUGCAGGCGGUCGGACGCGUUUUGUGUGACAGCGGGUGGCUUAACUACCCGAGUAUGCGAAAGACGGUUUGACUUGAGGGCUCGAGAGGGACACGGAAUUCCGGGUGGAGUGGUGAAAUGCGUAGAGAUCCGGAGGAACACCGAAGGCGAAGGCAGUGUCCUGGCGAGUGACUGACGCUGAGGUGCGAAAGCUAGGGGAGCGAACGGGAUUAGAUACCCCGGUAGUCCUAGCCGUAAACGAUGACCACCAGGUGUGGGAGGUAUCGACCCCUUCCGUGCCGGAGUAAACACACUAAGUGGUCCGCCUGGGGAGUACGGUCGCAAGAUUAAAACUCAAAGGAAUUGACG
This 506-nucleotide ribosomal RNA is filed under the name uncultured bacterium. Its description in RNAcentral is "SSU rRNA". It matches the Rfam family "Bacterial small subunit ribosomal RNA", at positions 394 to 915 of the family's 1533-position model. The record is from RNAcentral.